This 209-nucleotide unclassified non-coding RNA is filed under the name Hevea brasiliensis (rubber tree). The record is from RNAcentral. Lineage: Eukaryota; Viridiplantae; Streptophyta; Magnoliopsida; Malpighiales; Euphorbiaceae.
UUUCUUCCCUUUUUCUCCCAUUCUCAUCUCUCAUCUGUGCAUUUCACUUUCUCUAAUCAUUGCCCACGAAACCCCUUCUCAUUUACUUUGAUUGGACUGUGACUUCACUUCCCUUCACAAAGUGUAUUGACUUCUAUCUUCUCUCUUCUACGAUAGGACAAAGUUCUUGAUAAAUGAGAGAGAGAGAAGAGGUUGGUGUUGUAAUUUUG